This 438-nucleotide long non-coding RNA is filed under the name Olea europaea subsp. europaea. The record is from RNAcentral. Lineage: Eukaryota; Viridiplantae; Streptophyta; Magnoliopsida; Lamiales; Oleaceae.
AUUUGAAGUUAAAAUAUACCAUUCCAUUCUAUUUAAACUUUUAUGCACAUUUCAAUUAUUUACAAACUUAUAUACUCCAAACUAAAUGUUCCAUUUUGGAUAUAUAAGCAUUUGUAAUACUCCUACAGUAUAGAUAAAGCUGAAAUCGUAAAGUGAUGUUGUGAAUAUGUUGAUUCUUUGAAAUACUAUUAUUAAUUUCAUUAUGCUUUAUUUACUUCUCAAUUGACGGCAUUGGAACUCAUAAAUACCACCUACCGGUUUUUAAAAUAUAUUUGCAAAUAUUACAUCUUCAAUUUAUUGCAUUUCUUCUUUGUCUAUCACUUUCCCAACACUCUACUAAAUGAAAUGCUAAUUUGUUCAAAUAGAAUGCAAAAAUUAGAUUACUUUAAUUGGAAUUUGUUUAUUAUCACUUUAUGAAAUUUAACAAUUCAUCGAGUU